Molecule: ribosomal RNA, 1457 nt
Filed under: uncultured fungus
Lineage: Eukaryota; Fungi
Description: eukaryotic LSU rRNA
Rfam family: Eukaryotic large subunit ribosomal RNA (bases 806-1457)
Source: RNAcentral
CUUGGUCAUUUAGAGGAAGUAAAAGUCGUAACAAGGUUUCCGCAGGUGAACCUGCGGAAGGAUCAUUAACACGUAUCCACGUAUCAACCCCUCUGUGAAAACGCAAAAGCAGCAAGGUCUGGUCUUAGUGCGUCUGUCUGCUAUGGGUCCUAAUAAUGGGUGACUUUCGGGUCACAGGGCUCGGACGGCGUGUGUUUGACGAUCAACCGACACUUUACCAUUGUUGGCCUUUACCCAAUUUUUAACCCCUUUGUACUCUUUUGUACUGAACCAUUCUUCGAUGCUCUUCUUCCUAAAAAAAAGAGAGUGACGAAUGAUAUUACGAAACUUAAGAACAACUCUUAGCAACGGAUAUCUUGGUUCCCGCAACGAUGAAGAACGCAGCGAAAUGCGAUACGUAAUGCGAAUUGCAGAAUUCAGUGAAUCAUCAAAUCUUUGAACGCAAAUUGCACUCUCGGGUAUCCCCGGGAGUACGCUUCUUUCAGUAUCGGUUCUAUCAAAACUCGCCUGCGUUUUGAACUCUCGGGUUCGGAACACGGAGCGGAAAUUGAGUGUCACACUUUUCGAGAGUGUGUUACUUGAAAGGUAGAAACGGUGUUGUUCCGUCGUUCUCUCGAACGAGCUCGCUUUGGUCUUCCUUCUCUCGCUUGCGAGAGGAGGCUGGAGCAAUCUGAGUGACGUGGUUAAGUUCGCCUCUGUGCGGCACCACCAUCGUCAACUAACUCAGAGUGCGCUGGUGUGGCCUUCCUGAGUAGUGGAGCAAAACUUGAUCCGUUCUUUGGAUUAAAACCCAAUUUACAAAAUCAGAUCUGAAAUGAAGUGAGAGGACCCGCUGAACUUAAGCAUAUCAUUAAGCGGAGGAAAAGAAAAUAACAAUGAUUCCCCUAGUAACGGCGAGUGAAGCGGGAAGAGCUCAAGCUGAAAAUCUGGAAGCCUUGCGGUUUCCCGAAUUGUAGUCUAGAGACGUGCUCUCAGUGUGUGACCUGGGUAUAAGUCUUUUGGAACAAGGCAUCAUAGAGGGUGAGAAUCCCGUCUUUGACCCAGAGUACGCCACGUACGAGACGCGUUCGAAGAGUCGGGUUGGUCGGGACUCCAGCUCUAAAUGGGUGGUAAGAUUCAUCUAAAGCUAAAUAUAGGCGGGAGACCGAUAGCGAACAAGUACCGUGAGGGAAAGAUGAAAAGCACUUUGAAAAGAGAGUGAAACAGUACGUGAAAUUGUUGAAAGGGAAGCGUUUGGCAUCAGCCCGUGGCGUCCGUCGAUCAUCUGUGCCUCUGCACGGUGCACUCGGCGGUCGUCGGGCCAACGUCGUCUCCGUCCGCUGGAGAAAGGCCUUGGGAAUGUGGCUCUCUGGAGCGUUAUAGCCCUCGGCGCAAUGCGGCGGAUGGGGUCGAGGUCUGCGGUUCAACCGAGGACGUUGGCUUAAUGGUUCCAAGCGACCCGUCUUGAAACACGGACC